UCCUACGGGGGGCAGCAGUGAGGAAUAUUGGUCAAUGGGCGGGAGCCUGAACCAGCCAAGCCGCGUGAGGGAAGAAGGUACAGCGUAUCGUAAACCUCUUUUGUCAGGGAACAAAGGCGGGGACUAGUCCCCGGAUGAGGGUACCUGAAGAAAAAGCAUCGGCUAACUCCGUGCCAGCAGCCGCGGUAAUACGGAGGAUGCGAGCGUUAUCCGGAUUUAUUGGGUUUAAAGGGUGCGUAGGCGGAAUAUCAAGUCAGCGGUAAAAAUUCGGGGCUCAACCCCGUCGUGCCGUUGAAACUGAUGUU
RNAcentral lists this ribosomal RNA (305 nucleotides) under uncultured bacterium. RNAcentral describes it as "bacterial SSU rRNA". It matches the Rfam family "Bacterial small subunit ribosomal RNA", at positions 337 to 640 of the family's 1533-position model. The record is from RNAcentral.